RNAcentral lists this ribosomal RNA (420 nucleotides) under uncultured bacterium. RNAcentral's name for it is "bacterial SSU rRNA". It matches the Rfam family "Bacterial small subunit ribosomal RNA", at positions 355 to 774 of the family's 1533-position model. The record is from RNAcentral.
UAAGGAAUAUUGCUCAAUGGGAGAAAUCCUGAAGCAGCAACGCCGCGUGGAGGAUGAAGGGCCUAUGACUUGUAAACUCCUGUAAAGAAGGAAAAAAUUCCCAUUUGAUGGGAGAUGAUGGUACUUCUGGAGUAAGCCCCGGCUAACUACGUGCCAGCAGCCGCGGUAAUACGUAGGGGGCAAGCGUUGUCCGGAUUUACUGGGUGUAAAGGGUGCUCAGGCGGAUUUGUAAGUCAGAGGUGAAAUCUUACAGCUUAACUGUGAAACUGCCUUUGAUACUGCAAGCCUAGAGUAUGGAAGAGAGUGAUGGAAUAUCUGGUGUAGCAGUGAAAUGCGUAGAUAUCAGAUAGAACACCAAUGGCGAAGGCAGUCACUUGGUCCAUUACUGACGCUAAAGCACGAAAGCGUGGGUAGCAAACA